AGUGAACGCUGGCGGUAGGCCUAACACAUGCAAGUCGAACGGCAGCACAGUAAGAGCUUGCUCUUACGGGUGGCGAGUGGCGGACGGGUGAGGAAUACAUCGGCAUCUACUUUUUCGCGGGGGAUAACGUAGGGAAACUUACGAUAAUACCGGAUACGACCUACGGGUGGAAGCAGGGGAUCUUCGGACCUUGCGCGAUUGAAUGAGGCGUUGUCGGAUUAGCUAGUUGGCGGGGUAAAGGCCCACCAAGGCGACGAUCCGUAGCUGGGCUGAGAGGAUGAUCAGCGCCACGGGACCGGGGACACGGGCCAGACUCCUACGGGAGGCAGCAGUGGGGAAUAUUGGACAAGGGGCGCAAGCCUGAUCCAGCCAUACCGCGUGGGUGAAGAAGGCCUUCGGGUUGUAAAGCCCUUUUGUUGGGAAAGAAAAGCAGCAGGUUAAUACCCCGCUGUUCUGACGGUACCCAAAGAAUAAGCACCGGCUAACUUCGU
Molecule: ribosomal RNA, 491 nt
Filed under: uncultured bacterium
Lineage: Bacteria
Description: partial 16S ribosomal RNA
Rfam family: Bacterial small subunit ribosomal RNA
Source: RNAcentral